This is a non-coding RNA of Xylaria telfairii, 81 nucleotides long. The record is from the annotation of a GenBank genome assembly. NCBI's taxonomy places the organism in Eukaryota, Fungi, Ascomycota, Sordariomycetes, Xylariales, Xylariaceae.
GGGCAGGUUGUGUAAUUGGUAACACAUGGGACUCUUACUAUCCGGACCCUGAAGUAGUCGGUGCGACUCCGACCUUGUCCA